RNAcentral lists this transfer RNA (82 nucleotides) under Acetivibrio ethanolgignens. Its description in RNAcentral is "Selenocysteine transfer RNA". The record is from RNAcentral. Lineage: Bacteria; Bacillati; Bacillota; Clostridia; Acetivibrionales; Acetivibrionaceae.
GGUAACUGGUGUACCCCCUGGUCUUCAAAACCAGUGUUGGGCGUUAGGAGCGUCCUGGGUGGGUUCGAUUCCCACAUACCUC